CCAGCAGCCGCGGUAAUACGUAGGGUGCAAGCGUUAAUCGGAAUUACUGGGCGUAAAGCGUGCGCAGGCGGUUCGGAAAGAAAGAUGUGAAAUCCCAGAGCUUAACUUUGGAACUGCAUUUUUAACUACCGGGCUAGAGUGUGUCAGAGGGAGGUGGAAUUCCGCGUGUAGCAGUGAAAUGCGUAGAUAUGCGGAGGAACACCGAUGGCCGAAGGCAGCCUCCUGGGAUAACACUGACGCUCAUGCACGAAAGCGUGGGGAGCAAACAGGAUUAGAUACCCUGGUAGUCCACGCCCUAAACGAUGUCAACUAGGCUGUUGGGGCCUUCGGGCCUUGGUAGCGCAGCUAACGCGUGAAGUUGACCGCCUGGGGGAGUACGGUCGCAAGAUUAAAACUCAAAGGAAUUGACGGGGACCCGCACAAGCGGUGGAUGAUGUGGAUUAAUUCGAUGCAACGCGAAAAACCUUACCUACCCUUGACAUGGUCUGGAAUGCCGAAGAGAUUUGGCAGUGCUCGCCAAGAGAACCGGAACACAGGUGCUUGCAU
RNAcentral lists this ribosomal RNA (546 nucleotides) under Achromobacter sp. RNAcentral describes it as "bacterial SSU rRNA". It matches the Rfam family "Bacterial small subunit ribosomal RNA", at positions 508 to 1046 of the family's 1533-position model. The record is from RNAcentral. Lineage: Bacteria; Pseudomonadati; Pseudomonadota; Betaproteobacteria; Burkholderiales; Alcaligenaceae.